This 1466-nucleotide ribosomal RNA is filed under the name uncultured organism. RNAcentral describes it as "16S ribosomal RNA". It matches the Rfam family "Bacterial small subunit ribosomal RNA". The record is from RNAcentral.
CGCUGGCGGCGUGCCUAAUACAUGCAAGUCGAACGCUUCUUUUUCCACCGGAGCUUGCUCCACCGGAAAAAGAGGAGUGGCGAACGGGUGAGUAACACGUGGGUAACCUGCCCAUCAGAAGGGGAUAACACUUGGAAACAGGUGCUAAUACCGUAUAACAAUCGAAACCGCAUGGUUUUGAUUUGAAAGGCGCUUUCGGGUGUCGCUGAUGGAUGGACCCGCGGUGCAUUAGCUAGUUGGUGAGGUAACGGCUCACCAAGGCCACGAUGCAUAGCCGACCUGAGAGGGUGAUCGGCCACAUUGGGACUGAGACACGGCCCAAACUCCUACGGGAGGCAGCAGUAGGGAAUCUUCGGCAAUGGACGAAAGUCUGACCGAGCAACGCCGCGUGAGUGAAGAAGGUUUUCGGAUCGUAAAACUCUGUUGUUAGAGAAGAACAAGGAUGAGAGUAACUGUUCAUCCCUUGACGGUAUCUAACCAGAAAGCCACGGCUAACUACGUGCCAGCAGCCGCGGUAAUACGUAGGUGGCAAGCGUUGUCCGGAUUUAUUGGGCGUAAAGCGAGCGCAGGCGGUUUCUUAAGUCUGAUGUGAAAGCCCCCGGCUCAACCGGGGAGGGUCAUUGGAAACUGGGAGACUUGAGUGCAGAAGAGGAGAGUGGAAUUCCAUGUGUAGCGGUGAAAUGCGUAGAUAUAUGGAGGAACACCAGUGGCGAAGGCGGCUCUCUGGUCUGUAACUGACGCUGAGGCUCGAAAGCGUGGGGAGCAAACAGGAUUAGAUACCCUGGUAGUCCACGCCGUAAACGAUGAGUGCUAAGUGUUGGAGGGUUUCCGCCCUUCAGUGCUGCAGCUAACGCAUUAAGCACUCCGCCUGGGGAGUACGACCGCAAGGUUGAAACUCAAAGGAAUUGACGGGGGCCCGCACAAGCGGUGGAGCAUGUGGUUUAAUUCGAAGCAACGCGAAGAACCUUACCAGGUCUUGACAUCCUUUGACCACUCUAGAGAUAGAGCUUCCCCUUCGGGGGCAAAGUGACAGGUGGUGCAUGGUUGUCGUCAGCUCGUGUCGUGAGAUGUUGGGUUAAGUCCCGCAACGAGCGCAACCCUUAUUGUUAGUUGCCAUCAUUCAGUUGGGCACUCUAGCAAGACUGCCGGUGACAAACCGGAGGAAGGUGGGGAUGACGUCAAAUCAUCAUGCCCCUUAUGACCUGGGCUACACACGUGCUACAAUGGGAAGUACAACGAGUCGCGAAGUCGCGAGGCUAAGCUAAUCUCUUAAAGCUUCUCUCAGUUCGGAUUGCAGGCUGCAACUCGCCUGCAUGAAGCCGGAAUCGCUAGUAAUCGCGGAUCAGCACGCCGCGGUGAAUACGUUCCCGGGCCUUGUACACACCGCCCGUCACACCACGAGAGUUUGUAACACCCGAAGUCGGUGAGGUAACCUUCUGGAGCCAGCCGCCUAAGGUGGGAUAGAU